AGUGAACGCUGGCGGUAGGCCUAACACAUGCAAGUCGAACGGCAGCACAGUAAGAGCUUGCUCUUACGGGUGGCGAGUGGCGGACGGGUGAGGAAUACAUCGGAAUCUACUUUUUCGUGGGGGAUAACGUAGGGAAACUUACGCUAAUACCGCAUACGACCUACGGGUGAAAGCGGGGGAUCUUCGGACCUUGCGCGAUUGAAUGAGCCGAUGUCGGAUUAGCUAGUUGGCGGGGUAAAGGCCCACCAAGGCGACGAUCCGCAGCUGGUCUGAGAGGAUGAUCAGCCACACUGGAACUGAGACACGGUCCAGACUCCUACGGGAGGCAGCAGUGGGGAAUAUUGGACAAUGGGCGCAAGCCUGAUCCAGCCAUACCGCGUGGGUGAAGAAGGCCUUCGGGUUGUAAAGCCCUUUUGUUGGGAAAGAAAAGCAGCAGGUUAAUACCCCGCUGUUCUGACGGUACCCAAAGAAUAAGCACCGGCUAACUUCGUG
Molecule: ribosomal RNA, 492 nt
Filed under: uncultured bacterium
Lineage: Bacteria
Description: partial 16S ribosomal RNA
Rfam family: Bacterial small subunit ribosomal RNA
Source: RNAcentral